AUACGGAGGAUCCGAGCGUUAUCCGGAUUUAUUGGGUUUAAAGGGUGCGCAGGCGGCCAUUUAAGUCAGCGGUUAAAUCGUGGGGCUCAACCCCAUUCUGCCGUUGAUACUGGGUGGCUUGAUUGCGGUCGAGGUUGGCGGAAUUCGUUGUGUCGCGGUGAAAUGCAUAGAUAUGACGAAGAACACCGAUUGCGUAGGCAGCUGACCAGACCGCAAAUGACGCUCAUGCACGAAAGUGCGGGGAUCGAACAGGAUUAGAUACCCUGGUAGUCCGCACAGUAAACGAUGAAUACUUGUUUUCGGCGAUAUAAUGUCGGAGGCAAAGCGAAAGCGAUAAGUAUUCCACCUGGGGAGUACGCCGGCAACGGUGAAACUCAAAUGAAUUGACGGGG
RNAcentral lists this ribosomal RNA (392 nucleotides) under uncultured bacterium. RNAcentral describes it as "partial 16S ribosomal RNA". It matches the Rfam family "Bacterial small subunit ribosomal RNA", at positions 523 to 918 of the family's 1533-position model. The record is from RNAcentral.